RNAcentral lists this microRNA precursor (133 nucleotides) under Gossypium hirsutum (cotton). Its description in RNAcentral is "MIR7502 microRNA precursor family". It matches the Rfam family "MIR7502 microRNA precursor family". Lineage: Eukaryota; Viridiplantae; Streptophyta; Magnoliopsida; Malvales; Malvaceae. The record is from Rfam by way of RNAcentral. RNAcentral also lists the same sequence under 1 other name.
UGUUAAAAAAAUUAUCUAUUUCUAUUAUUAAAAACUGGCGUGACUAAUGAAAUAAUCAAACAUUUACACGUGUACCUCACAUGUUAUCAUACAAGACCAAUUUUAAUAGUAGAAAUGAAUGAAAUUUUUAAUA